This 3393-nucleotide ribosomal RNA is filed under the name Triticum aestivum (bread wheat). RNAcentral describes it as "partial small subunit ribosomal RNA". Lineage: Eukaryota; Viridiplantae; Streptophyta; Magnoliopsida; Poales; Poaceae. The record is from RNAcentral.
AUGAUGCGGCGCUGCGGGUGGCUUUCGCUUCUCUGCCGCCCCCGCCGGGGUGGCCGCGCCGCCGUCUUGCCGCCGCCCAACCCAGAUCCACCGCCUCCCCAGCCCAAGGGAGAGGAGAAUCACAGUGCUCCUGACAAAGUUAUCAUGGAGAACAUUCUACCAAACGGUGAUUUUUCUGAAGAUCUCUGUUUAUGGCAUUCUAACGGUUGCCAUGCGUUUGUUGCCGUUGAAGGGUCUGGUUACCAUAAUGGUAUAAAGCCACAUUCAGGGUCUAAAUAUGCUGUAGUUACUCAUCGCACACAGACUUGGCAAGGGCUUGAGCAGGACUUAGAAAACAUUAGUGCCGGUACCGAAUAUAUUGUUACUGCCUAUGUUAGAGUUCAUGGGGAAUUUCAUGAGCCUGUUGGAGUCCAGGCCACGCUAAAACUUGAGGGGGAGGGGUCUCCUACCAACUACCAUUCCGUUGCAAGGAUUUUGGCCUCACAAGAAUGCUGGGAGAAGUUGGAAGGUUCGUUUGAGCUUACAACUAUACCAAGCCGCUUGGUGUUUUAUCUUGAAGGUCCCCCUGCUGGUGUAGAUUUGCUCAUAGAUUCAGUUACCAUUUCCUGCAAGAAAGCAGAGAGCAAGACUUCUUCAUUGAUUGGUGGAACAGCAAACAUCAUUUUAAAUUGUGAUUUUUCAGAAGGCCUUCAUUCAUGGCAUCCUAUCUGCUGCCACGCGUAUGUGGCAUCACAAUGGUCCGGUUUCCUUGAUGGUAUUAGAGGGGACUCAGGAGAGAAUUAUGCUGUUGUUUCAAAGAGAACUGAACCCUGGCAAGGUCUCGAACAAGAUAUUACAGAUAGAGUAUCUGCUGGUACAGUUUAUGCAGUUUCGGCGCGUGUUAGAGUUGAUGGGAAUAUCCAUGGCAAAGCUGAAGUCAAAGCAACCCUGAGGUUGCAAAAUCCAGAUGGAUCAACACACUACAAUCCUAUUGGAAGAGUAUUAGCCUCAAAAGAGAAGUGGGAGAAGUUGGAAGGUUCUUUUUCUUUGACAAAUAUGCCAAAGUGUGUGGUUUUUUACCUUGAAGGGCCUCCUGCUGGGGCGGAUCUUAUUAUUGAUUUUGUUACUAUUGCUAGGUCUGAACAUAAGCAGCCAAAGGAAGUAAAAUCAAUAAGUGGAAUCGAGACUAUUAUCAAGAAUCCUCAGUUUGAAGAAGGGUUAAGCAAUUGGUCUGGACGAGGAUGUAAUAUCUGCAGGCAUGAGUUCACUGCAUAUGGGAAUGUAAAGCCCGUAAAUGGCAGCUACUUUGCUUCAGCAACUGGACGGGUUCACAGUUGGAAUGGCAUACAGCAAGAUAUCACAGGCAGAGUGCAGAGAAAAGUUUCUUACGAGAUUAGUUCUCCUGUUCGCAUAUUUGGCAGUGCUAAUGAGACUGAAGUUCGGACUACUUUGUGGGUACAAGAAUAUGGCCGUGAGCAAUAUCUAUGCAUUUCGAAAAACCAGGCCUCUGAUAAGCGCUGGACACAUUUGAAAGGAAAGUUUAUCCUUCAUGCUCCCUUCUCCAAAGUUGUCCUCUUUAUAGAGGGGCCACCAGCAGGAAUUGACAUCCUUGUAGAUGGCCUUGUCCUAUCUCCUGCAAGAAAACUUGAUGCUGCUCCACGCCCAAAAGUUGAGGUUUGCAAGCUAAUUACUAAAUUAAAUUAUGUCCCCCCCAGGAGCGUGCCUUCAGAUGUCUCAACUUGUGUGUAUACAGUAGUUGUGUUGAAUGUUCUGUAUGGAGCUAAUAUCAUGCAGAAUAGUGCUUGCUCUCGCGGGCUUGCUGGGUGGAGUCCAAUGGGUUCAUGUCGAUUGAGUAUCCAUACCGAAUCACCCCAUAUGCUAUCUUCCAUCCUGAAGGACCCCUCGAAUCAGAAACAUAUAAGUGGUCGUUAUAUCCUUGCUACAAACCGCACUGAUGUGUGGAUGGGCCCUUCUCAGGUGAUAACAGACAAGCUAAAGCUACACACUACUUACCGAGUCUCUGCCUGGGUACGAGCUGGCUCUGGAGGAAAUGGCCGUCACCAUGUCAAUGUUUGUCUUGGUGUAGAUGAUCAAUGGGUUAAUGGUGGGCAAAUAGAAGCUGAUGGGGAUCAAUGGUAUGAAAUCAAAGGAGCAUUCAAGCUUGAAAAGAAGCCAUCUAAAGUUAUUGCAUAUGUUCAGGGUCCCCCUCCGGGUGUUGAUAUCCGAGUCAUGGGUCUCCAAAUUUAUCCAGUUGAUAGGAAAGCACGUUUUGAAUAUCUUAAGGACAAAUCAGAUAAGGUAAGGAAGCGUGAUAUUGUUCUAAAGUUCCAAGGAUUAGAUGCUGCGAAUGUUUUUGGUUCAGCUCUCAGGGUACAACAGACUGAGAACAGUUUUGCAUUUGGAUCAUGCAUAAACCGAAGUAACAUCGAGAAUGAGGAUCUUGCUGAUUUCUUCGUGAAGAAUUUUAAUUGGGCUGUAUUUGAGAAUGAACUGAAGUGGUACUGGACAGAGGCGGAACAAGGGAAGAUAAAUUAUAAAGACUCUGACGAGUUGCUUAAAUUCUGUCAGAAACAUAACAAACAAGUUCGCGGUCACUGCUUAUUCUGGGAAGUGGAAGAUUCAGUGCAGCCAUGGCUUCGAUCACUGCAUGGACACCACUUGAUGGCUGCUGUACAAGGUCGUUUACAGAGCCUGUUAUCAAGGUACAAAGGCCAGUUUAAACAUCAUGAUGUAAACAACGAGAUGCUUCAUGGAUCUUUUUAUCAAGAUAGGCUUGGAAGGGACAUCAGAGCUCACAUGUUCAGGGAAGCCCAUAAGCUUGAUCCUUCAGCAGUCCUCUUUGUCAAUGACUACAACGUCGAAGAUGGGUGCGAUUCGAAAUCCACCCCAGAAAAGUUUGUGGAGCAGAUUGUCGAUCUCCAAGAACGGGGCGCCCCAGUUGGUGGGAUCGGCGUGCAAGGUCAUAUCAGCCAUCCAGUGGGAGAUAUCAUCUGCGAUUCUCUAGACAAGCUAGCUAUACUGGGUCUCCCUAUCUGGAUUACUGAACUGGAUGUCUCGGCGGAGAACGAACACAUCCGAGCGGAUGAUCUCGAGGUGUGCCUCCGUGAAUGCUUCGCCCAUGCCGCUGUGGAGGGGGUGGUCCUCUGGGGAUUCUGGGAGACGUUCAUGUUUCGGAAUCAUGCUCACCUGGUUGAUGCUGAUGGAACAAUCAACGAGACCGGCAGAAGGUACCUUGCCCUGAAGCAGGAGUGGUUGACCAAAACCGAUGGUGACAUCGAUCACCAUGGGGAGUUCAAAUUCAGAGGCUACCAUGGGUCAUACACCGUAGAGGUAGCGACGCCCUCGGGGAAGGUGACCCGAUCAUUUGUUGUGGACAAGGAGAACCCUGUGCAGGUGGUUACCUUGAACAUUUAG